CUGUAUCACUGCUAUGUCUGCUGCCCAGGUCUGUCUGAAGUCCGCUAGUAGUGCCCUAAUGUCUUGCUUGGUGGCUAAGUUGGAGAGGUCAGGGUAAGGUGGGGCUGCUUGUUCACAGCUCUGUUGUUCAAAUUGAGGCUGUGUUUCCUCCUGUGUGGGAGUUUGGGGUGUAUUGGUGGCUGUACCUGCUUCAGGCGUUGCCAUCUUGCUUUGGGCCUGCUUCUGAAGCAUGGACCAGAUGUCUCUGGAGUCUCCUGGAGUCCCCUG
Molecule: non-coding RNA, 267 nt
Organism: Pelobates cultripes (western spadefoot toad)
Lineage: Eukaryota; Metazoa; Chordata; Amphibia; Anura; Pelobatidae
Source: the annotation of a GenBank genome assembly